CUACGGAGGGGGUUAGCGUUGUUCGGAAUUACUGGGCGUAAAGCGCACGUAGGCGGACUGGAAAGUUGGGGGUGAAAUCCCGGGGCUCAACCCCGGAACUGCCUCCAAAACUUCCAAUCUAGAGAUCGAGAGAGGUGAGUGGAAUUCCAAGUGUGGAGGUGAAAGUCGUAGAUAUUUGGAGGAACACCAGUGGCGAAGGCGGCUCACUGGCUCGAUACUGACGCUGAGGUGCGAAAGCGUGGGGAGCGAACAGGAUUAGAAACCCUAGUAGUCC
This 274-nucleotide ribosomal RNA is filed under the name uncultured bacterium. RNAcentral's name for it is "partial 16S ribosomal RNA". It matches the Rfam family "Bacterial small subunit ribosomal RNA", at positions 523 to 796 of the family's 1533-position model. The record is from RNAcentral.